CCCAUACCACAUAUUGAGAAAACUAGAAGAGAAUGAACCUGGCCAGAGGAGAAUGAAAUGGCUUGAUAUAGAUGAAGAUGCAGCGGCCAUAAGUGAUGGAAACCACAGUAAUAUGUGAAGAACAG
Molecule: non-coding RNA, 125 nt
Filed under: Pongo abelii (Sumatran orangutan)
Lineage: Eukaryota; Metazoa; Chordata; Mammalia; Primates; Hominidae
Source: RNAcentral